AUUGAACGCUGGCGGCAUGCUUUACACAUGCAAGUCGAACGGUAACAGGUUAAGCUGACGAGUGGCGAACGGGUGAGUAAUGCAUCGGAACGUGCCCGGUCGUGGGGGAUAACGCAGCGAAAGCUGCGCUAAUACCGCAUACGAUCUGAGGACGAAAGCGGGGGACCGUAAGGCCUCGCGCGAUCGGAGCGGCCGAUGUCAGAUUAGGUAGUUGGUGGGGUAAAGGCUCACCAAGCCAACGAUCUGUAGCUGGUCUGAGAGGACGACCAGCCACACUGGGACUGAGACACGGCCCAGACUCCUACGGGAGGCAGCAGUGGGGAAUUUUGGACAAUGGGCGAAAGCCUGAUCCAGCAACGCCGCGUGCAGGAAGAAGGCCUUCGGGUUGUAAACUGCUUUUGUACGGAGCGAAAAGGUCUCCUCUAAUACAGGGGGCUCAUGACGGUACCGUAAGAAUAAGCACCGGCUAACUACGUGCCAGCCGCCGCGGUAA
RNAcentral lists this ribosomal RNA (493 nucleotides) under uncultured bacterium. RNAcentral describes it as "partial 16S ribosomal RNA". It matches the Rfam family "Bacterial small subunit ribosomal RNA", at positions 29 to 523 of the family's 1533-position model. The record is from RNAcentral.